GACGAACGCUGGCGGCGUGCUUAACACAUGCAAGUCGAACGGAAAGGCCCUGCUUUUGUGGGGUGCUCGAGUGGCGAACGGGUGAGUAACACGUGAGUAACCUGCCCUUGACUUUGGGAUAACUUCAGGAAACUGGGGCUAAUACCGGAUAGGAGCUCCCGCUGCAUGGUGGGGGUUGGAAAGUUUCGGCGGUUGGGGAUGGACUCGCGGCUUAUCAGCUUGUUGGUGGGUAGUGGCUUACCAAGGCUUUGACGGGUAGCCGGCCUGAGAGGGUGACCGGCCACAUUGGGACUGAGAUACGGCCCAGACUCCUACGGGAGGCAGCAGUGGGGAAUAUUGCACAAUGGGCGGAAGCCUGAUGCAGCAACGCCGCGUGCGGGAUGACGGCCUUCGGGUUGUAAACCGCUUUCGCCUGUGACGAAGCGUGAGUGACGGUAAUGGGUAAAGAAGCACCGGCUAACUACGUG
This 467-nucleotide ribosomal RNA is filed under the name uncultured bacterium. RNAcentral describes it as "partial 16S ribosomal RNA". It matches the Rfam family "Bacterial small subunit ribosomal RNA", at positions 28 to 507 of the family's 1533-position model. The record is from RNAcentral.